GCCGGCGUGGCGGAAUUGGUAGACGCGCCAGACUCAAAAUCUGGUGUCCGCGAGGAUGUCCCGGUUCGAGUCCGGGCGCCGGUA
This 84-nucleotide transfer RNA is filed under the name Spirochaetaceae bacterium. RNAcentral describes it as "tRNA-Leu". It matches the Rfam family "tRNA". From Rfam's summary of the family: Transfer RNA (tRNA) molecules are approximately 80 nucleotides in length. Lineage: Bacteria; Pseudomonadati; Spirochaetota; Spirochaetia; Spirochaetales; Spirochaetaceae. The record is from RNAcentral.